CCGGGAAUGACAACAUCUGUCCAGGAAGUUUUUGAAACACGGUGUUCUUCCCUUAAAUUCCUGGGUGAAACGAUCCCAACCAGGAGAAGUAUCGAAGUGAGUUUUGCAUCAUAGGAUGAGAGGAAGCUGAAGAUGGUACAGGUAAAAAAAGGUGCUUCUCCAUUGCUUUGUCAUUCAAGAGUACAGAUAGCAAUAUAACUUAGAGUUAUGUGUACAGGUCAACGGGUGAGGGGUCCCAAAGGGAGUUCUGGGAUGAACUUUCAUGUUUGUUUUGAGAAUGAAGAGUUCUUAGAUGUCAGGAGGAAAUUUUAAUACGAUGAGUUAUUUGGAUGAAAGGAUGGAAUUUGACUCUCUAGGGCAAUGAAGUGUUCAGAGUUUAUUGAUAGCCUUUAGCUAGUUGAUGUCAGGUGCUCAUUUCACGUGGACCAGGAUGAAGGAGUCAAUGUCCAAAUUCAGAAUUGACAUAUUUCACAUUUCAACCACAUGGAGCGGUAGCCCCAGAUAUCAUCCAAAUCCCCUGUCAUAUGCAUACAUCCGAUUUUGGUCUCAAAGAACUGUAAUAUAAAUUUUGUCAGAUGUCAAAAGUAUGAAGCUUAGUUCUCGAAUGCUUGGUCAAACUAUUAUACAGAAACCAUAUGGAUGAGGUGUAAUGAAACACAUUUAGUGGGAUUGUAUUACAUAGUCUCAGUUCUUAUUUUAGUCAUUGUUUAGUGAACUUGACUUUUCUGAAAAGUAACCUCAUUCAGUGAAUGGGUUUAUCAUGAACCAGAUAUUGAAGUUUUAGAAUACAAUACUAGCUCAAGGACGAGGAAUUUUAUGAUCUUUGCUUCUGAUUAAUUUUUAUUUUUAUUUUCGAUACAUAGAUCAUGUUAAUGCUUAAUCUAUAUAUGUCUUGCUUGAUUUCAGCUAUAUAUUGAUUCUUAGCCAUGUUCCUUUUCACUUUUGGGUUCCCCGUAAACUUUACCCCUCUAUGCAUCUUUCCCUGACUCAUAUAUUGGGAAUGACCCAACAUUUAAUAGAUUGAAUCUACAAGAAUGUUGAAAUAUGUGGACUGAGGCAUAUACUUGCAGGUUAAUGGAACACGGUCUGGUAUCACCUGAGAGAGAAAAGAAGGUACUAGAGAAAAAAAAGCAGAGGAAGCAAAACCAAAUUCGCACAGGGACCCGUGUCAAGUCUCUGCCACCACUAAUCUCGAGCAAACCUCAGAGUUCCAAAGUGCUGCAGCAAGAAUCAAAGAAUGGCGAUGUAAAAUCAAAAACACGAUUAAAACUGAUAACAAUGACGAAGAUGAUUUCAUACUUAGUCCAACGAGGAGAAAAGGGUAAGAACGAAUGCUCAUUUCCUUGUGCAGUCAUGUAUUGAAUAGAAAUUGGGCUGUCUUGAAAACUUCAAAAAGGAUUUGAUGGAGUGCAUUCUUUUAUUCUUGAUUCAUGGAAAUGAAUAAGUGAAUUAUAGUUGAUAUAAACCACAGUUUAAUGUUAUAUAGUAAAAUGUUUCAUGUGACUUGUUAUAGUUGCACAUAAACCACAGUUUUAGUGUUAUAAAGCACAACGUUUCAUGUAACUUGUUUAGUUUGCCUUAUGUUGUUAAUUUUUAAGUUACAGGAAAUAGACACAUCUCAG
RNAcentral lists this long non-coding RNA (1622 nucleotides) under Nicotiana tabacum (common tobacco). RNAcentral's name for it is "long non-coding RNA (NTAB_LNC009390)". Lineage: Eukaryota; Viridiplantae; Streptophyta; Magnoliopsida; Solanales; Solanaceae. The record is from RNAcentral.